Molecule: transfer RNA, 73 nt
Filed under: Rhizoclosmatium globosum
Lineage: Eukaryota; Fungi; Chytridiomycota; Chytridiomycetes; Chytridiales; Chytriomycetaceae
Description: tRNA-Val
Source: RNAcentral
GGUCUCUUGGUGUAGUGGCUAUCACGUCUCCUUUACACGGAGAAGGUCGCGAGAUCAAUCCUCGCAGAGUCCA